This 594-nucleotide ribosomal RNA is filed under the name Trichoderma erinaceum. Its description in RNAcentral is "eukaryotic LSU rRNA". The stretch from base 212 to 365 matches the Rfam family "5.8S ribosomal RNA". The record is from RNAcentral. Lineage: Eukaryota; Fungi; Ascomycota; Sordariomycetes; Hypocreales; Hypocreaceae.
UUGGUGACCAGCGGAGGGAUCAUUACCGAGUUUACAACUCCCAAACCCAAUGUGAACCAUACCAAACUGUUGCCUCGGCGGGGUCACGCCCCGGGUGCGUCGCAGCCCCGGAACCAGGCGCCCGCCGGAGGGACCAACCAAACUCUUUACUGUAGUCCCCUCGCGGACGUUAUUUCUUACAGCUCUGAGCAAAAAAUUCAAAAUGAAUCAAAACUUUCAACAACGGAUCUCUUGGUUCUGGCAUCGAUGAAGAACGCAGCGAAAUGCGAUAAGUAAUGUGAAUUGCAGAAUUCAGUGAAUCAUCGAAUCUUUGAACGCACAUUGCGCCCGCCAGUAUUCUGGCGGGCAUGCCUGUCCGAGCGUCAUUUCAACCCUCGAACCCCUCCGGGGGGUCGGCGUUGGGGAUCGGGAACCCCUCAGACGGGAUCCCGGCCCCGAAAUACAGUGGCGGUCUCGCCGCAGCCUCUCCUGCGCAGUAGUUUGCACAACUCGCACCGGGAGCGCGGCGCGUCCACGUCCGUAAAACACCCAACUUUCUGAAAUGUUGACCUCGGAUCAGGUAGGAAUACCCGCUGAACUUAAGCAUAUCAAUAA